This 200-nucleotide ribosomal RNA is filed under the name uncultured bacterium. RNAcentral's name for it is "partial 16S ribosomal RNA". It matches the Rfam family "Bacterial small subunit ribosomal RNA", at positions 28 to 229 of the family's 1533-position model. The record is from RNAcentral.
GAUGAACGCUAGCGGCAGGCCUAAUACAUGCAAGUCGAGGGGUAGAGGUUGCUUGCAACCUUGAGACCGGCGCACGGGUGCGUAACGCGUAUGCAACCUACCUUGAUCUGGGGGAUAGCCCGAAGAAAUUCGGAUUAACACCGCAUAAAAUCACAGUACCGCAUGGUACAAUGAUCAAAUAUUUAUAGGAUUGAGAUGGG